GACGAACGCUGGCGGCGUGCCUAAUACAUGCAAGUAGAACGCUGAAGGAGGAGCUUGCUCUUCUGGAUGAGUUGCGAACGGGUGAGUAACGCGUAGGUAACCUGCCUGGUAGCGGGGGAUAACUAUUGGAAACGAUAGCUAAUACCGCAUAACAGUAGAUGUUGCAUGACAUUUACUUAAAAGGUGCAAUUGCAUCACUACCAGAUGGACCUGCGUUGUAUUAGCUAGUUGGUGGGGUAACGGCUCACCAAGGCGACGAUACAUAGCCGACCUGAGAGGGUGAUCGACCACACUGGGACUGAGACACGGCCCAGACUCCUACGGGAGGCAGCAGUAGGGAAUCUUCGGCAAUGGACGGAAGUCUGACCGAGCAACGCCGCGUGAGUGAAGAAGGUUUUCGGAUCGUAAAGCUCUGUUGUAAGAGAAGAACGAGUGUGAGAGUGGAAAGUUCACACUGUGACGGUAUCUUACCAGAAAGGGACGGCUAACUACGUG
This 495-nucleotide ribosomal RNA is filed under the name uncultured bacterium. RNAcentral's name for it is "partial 16S ribosomal RNA". It matches the Rfam family "Bacterial small subunit ribosomal RNA", at positions 28 to 507 of the family's 1533-position model. The record is from RNAcentral.